UUUACCAAAUUUAAAUGCUGUUCCAACAUGCUGUCAAAAUUAAAUCAAUAUGGCUACUGGGUGUAAAAGAUAAAUUUUAUUCUAUCUGUUCUUAAUGAGUUUUAGAUAAUUUUAGUUGUAUUUCUUUGUAAUUUUGUGUUGUACAAAGAUUAAUUUAACAUUUUCUCUGGAAGUAUUAAUUUAGAAAGAUAAUAUGCUUCAUUGGUGUUGUGUUUUGAAGUGUGAAAUGCAAAGUAAUUGUGAUAAAGUCAAGAUAAAGUUCACUUUUAAACUGAACUAAAUAAGGUAUCUGAGAGACAACAAUGGUUAAAUGCAAUACAAUGUACAGGUUUUACUAGCGAAAUGAAAAUUUUCCUGUCCUGUCUGCUGUAAUCAUUUUAUAUCUGGAAAACCAGCCGACUUAAUCGAUAAUAACAAUCUCCAGAUUGGGUUCCUUCAAUAAAUAUGGGCUAUAAACACAAUGAAAUAAGUUCCCCAAAAUCUAAAAUGGAGUGGUAUCAAAGGAGAAUUAAAGGAAAAAAUAUUCAUAUUGAAAUUAUUUAUAAGGCACUGGACUGUCUUAAAUUCUACAAUAAUACUAGAAUCAGCUGAGAGAAGUGGUCUACAAAAAACCAGGAAGGAAAUGGAAUAUGUGGCUACGAAAGGCAAAAGAAAGGUUUACAAAGCAAAUGUGACACAUUUUUUUGAAAUAUUUAGGAAUAUCAGUAAAUUGCAUUAAAAAAAUGUAUGAAAAGAUUUUGUUCAAUAAAAAUGUUUAUAUUUA
Long non-coding RNA from Diabrotica virgifera virgifera (western corn rootworm), 763 nucleotides. RefSeq lists it as uncharacterized. The record is from RefSeq and is a predicted model, not a curated record. The transcript has 3 exons. NCBI's taxonomy places the organism in Eukaryota, Metazoa, Arthropoda, Insecta, Coleoptera, Chrysomelidae.